AGGACGAACGCUGGCGGCGUGCUUAACACAUGCAAGUCGAGCGGAAAGGCCCUUCGGGGUACUCGAGCGGCGAACGGGUGAGUAACACGUGAGUAACCUGCCCUGGACUUUGGGAUAACCCCUCGGAAACGGGGGCUAAUACCGAAUAUGACUUCUGCCCGCAUGGGUGGUGGUGGAAAGUUUUUUCGGUCUGGGAUGGGCUCGCGGCCUAUCAGCUUGUUGGUGGGGUGAUGGCCUACCAAGGCGACGACGGGUAG
RNAcentral lists this ribosomal RNA (257 nucleotides) under uncultured bacterium. RNAcentral's name for it is "partial small subunit ribosomal RNA". It matches the Rfam family "Bacterial small subunit ribosomal RNA", at positions 26 to 286 of the family's 1533-position model. The record is from RNAcentral.